GAUGAACGCUGGCGGCGUGCCUAAUACAUGCAAGUCGAGCGAACAGACGAGGAGCUUGCUCCUCUGACGUUAGCGGCGGACGGGUGAGUAACACGUGGAUAACCUACCUAUAAGACUGAGAUAACUUCGGGAAACCGGAGCUAAUACCGGAUAAUAUAUUGAACCGCAUGGUUGAAUAGUGAAAGAUGGUUUUGCUGUCACUUAUAGAUGGAUCAGCGCCGCAUUAGCGAGUUGGUAAGGUAACGGCUUAACGAGGCGACGAUGCGUAGCCGAGCUGAGAGGGUGAACGGCCACACUGAAAGUGAGACACGGUCCAGACUCCUACGUGAGGCAGAAGUAGGGACUCUUCGGCAAUGUGCGAAAGCCUGACGGAUCAACGCCGCGUGAAUGAUGAAGGUCUUCGGAUCGUAUAACUCUGUUAUUAGGGAAGAACAAAUGUGUAAGUAACUAUGCACGUCUUGACGGUACCUAAUCAGAAAGCCACGGCUAACUACGUG
This 497-nucleotide ribosomal RNA is filed under the name uncultured bacterium. RNAcentral's name for it is "partial 16S ribosomal RNA". It matches the Rfam family "Bacterial small subunit ribosomal RNA", at positions 28 to 507 of the family's 1533-position model. The record is from RNAcentral.